This 391-nucleotide ribosomal RNA is filed under the name uncultured bacterium. Its description in RNAcentral is "bacterial SSU rRNA". It matches the Rfam family "Bacterial small subunit ribosomal RNA", at positions 28 to 408 of the family's 1533-position model. The record is from RNAcentral.
GAUGAACGCUAGCGGCAGGCUUAACACAUGCAAGUCGAGGGGCAGCAUAAACAUUGCUUGCAAUGUUUGAUGGCGACCGGCGCACGGGUGCGUAACGCGUAUGUAACCUACCUCAAACAGGGGCAUAACACUGAGAAACUGGUACUAAUUCCCCAUAACACUUAAGGAGGCAUCUCCUUAGGUUGAAAGUUCCGGCGGUUUGAGAUGGACAUGCGUUGUAUUAGCUAGAUGGUGAGGUAACGGCUCACCAUGGCGACGAUACAUAGGGGGACUGAGAGGUUAACCCCCCACAUUGGUACUGAGACACGGGACCAAAACUCCUACGGGAGGCAGCAGUGGGGAAUAUUGACACAAUGGAGGAAACUCUGAUGCAGCGACGCCGCGUGAGGGA